UCUGGAAAGGCGUGCGAUACAGGGUGACAGCCCCGUACACAAAAAUGCACAUGCUGUGAGCUCGAUGAGUAGGGCGGGACACGUGGUAUCCUGUCUGAAUAUGGGGGGACCAUCCUCCAAGGCUAAAUACUCCUGACUGACCGAUAGUGAACCAGUACCGUGAGGGAAAGGCGAAAAGAACCCCGGCGAGGGGAGUGAAAAAGAACCUGAAACCGUGUACGUACAAGCAGUGGGAGCACAGAGCAAUCUGUGUGACUGCGUACCUUUUGUAUAAUGGGUCAGCGACUUAUAUUCUGUAGCAAGGUUAACCGAAUAGGGGAGCCGAAGGGAAACCGAGUCUUAACUGGGCGUUAAGUUGCAGGGUAUAGACCCGAAACCCGGUGAUCUAGCCAUGGGCAGGUUGAAGGUUGGGUAACACUAACUGGAGGACCGAACCGACUAAUGUUGAAAAAUUAGCGGAUGACUUGUGGCUGGGGGUGAAAGGCCAAUCAAACCGGGAGAUAGCUGGUUCUCCCCGAAAGCUAUUUAGGUAGCGCCUCGUGAAUUCAUCUCCGGGGGUAGAGCACUGUUUCGGCAAGGGGGUCAUCCCGACUUACCAACCCGAUGCAAACUGCGAAUACCGGAGAAUGUUAUCACGGGAGACACACGGCGGGUGCUAACGUCCGUCGUGAAGAGGGAAACAACCCAGACCGCCAGCUAAGGUCCCAAAGUCAUGGUUAAGUGGGAAACGAUGUGGGAAGGCCCAGACAGCCAGGAUGUUGGCUUAGAAGCAGCCAUCAUUUAAAGAAAGCGUAAUAGCUCACUGGUCGAGUCGGCCUGCGCGGAAGAUGUAACGGGGCUAAACCAUG
Molecule: ribosomal RNA, 848 nt
Filed under: Escherichia coli
Lineage: Bacteria; Pseudomonadati; Pseudomonadota; Gammaproteobacteria; Enterobacterales; Enterobacteriaceae
Description: partial 23S ribosomal RNA
Rfam family: Bacterial large subunit ribosomal RNA
Source: RNAcentral